GACGAACGCUGGCGGCGUGCUUAACACAUGCAAGUCGAACGAUGAACCCGGAGCUUGCUCCGGUGGAUUAGUGGCGAACGGGUGAGUAACACGUGAGUAACCUGCCCUUGACUCUGGAAUAACUGCGGGAAACUGUAGCUAACACCGGAUACGACACCUUGGGGCAUCCCAGGGUGUGGGAAGAAUUUCGGUCAAGGAUGAACUGGCGGCCUAUCAGCUAGUUGGUGAGGUAAUGGCUCACCAAGGCGACGACGGGUAGCCGGCCUGAGAGGGUGACCGGCCACACUGGAACUGAGACACGGUCCAGACUCCUACGGGAGGCAGCAGUGGGGAAUAUUGCACAAUGGGCGAAAGCCUGAUGCAGUAACGCCGCGUGAGGGAUGAAGGCCUUCGGGUUGUAAACCUCUUUUAGCAGGGAAGAAGCGAAAGUGACGGUACCUGCAGAAAAAGCACCGGCUAACUACGUGCCAGCAGCCGCGGUAA
Molecule: ribosomal RNA, 483 nt
Filed under: uncultured bacterium
Lineage: Bacteria
Description: partial 16S ribosomal RNA
Rfam family: Bacterial small subunit ribosomal RNA
Source: RNAcentral